Molecule: unclassified non-coding RNA, 201 nt
Filed under: uncultured Agaricomycetes
Lineage: Eukaryota; Fungi; Basidiomycota; Agaricomycetes
Description: sequence contains ITS1
Source: RNAcentral
UCGAGUUUUUGAAACAGGUUGUUGCUGGCUUUGAAACAAAGUAUUGUGCACGCCUGGCUCAUCUACUUCUAAACCCCUGUGCACCUACUGUAGGCUUGGUUCUUAUAGAGGCUUGUAAUAACCUCUAUUAGGCCUUGUCUAUGUCUUUAACAAAUGUUCAGUAAAAGAAUGUAAACAUUGUGUGUAAUGCAUAUUGAAAUA